GAACGCUGGCGGCGUGCCUAAUACAUGCAAGUCGAACGCACUCUCGUUAGAUUGAAGAAGCUUGCUUCUGAUUGAUAACAUUUGAGUGAGUGGCGGACGGGUGAGUAACACGUGGGUAACYUGCCCUAAAGUGGGGGAUAACAUUUGGAAACAGAUGCUAAUACCGCAUAAAACCUAGCACCGCAUGGUGCAAGGUUGAAAGAUGGUUUCGGCUAUCACUUUAGGAUGGACCCGCGGUGCAUUAGUUAGUUGGUGAGGUAAAGGCUCACCAAGACCGUGAUGCAUAGCCGACCUGAGAGGGUAAUCGGCCACACUGGGACUGAGACACGGCCCAGACUCCUACGGGAGGCAGCAGUAGGGAAUCUUCCACAAUGGACGAAAGUCUGAUGGAGCAACGCCGCGUGAGUGAAGAAGGUUUUCGGAUCGUAAAACUCUGUUGUUGGAGAAGAACGUAUUUGAUAGUAACUGAUCAGGUAGUGACGGUAUCCAACCAGAAAGCCASGGC
This 505-nucleotide ribosomal RNA is filed under the name Latilactobacillus curvatus. RNAcentral describes it as "bacterial SSU rRNA". Lineage: Bacteria; Bacillati; Bacillota; Bacilli; Lactobacillales; Lactobacillaceae. The record is from RNAcentral.